This is a non-coding RNA of Stegodyphus mimosarum, 73 nucleotides long. The record is from Rfam. NCBI's taxonomy places the organism in Eukaryota, Metazoa, Arthropoda, Arachnida, Araneae, Eresidae.
GCCUUCGUGGUGUAGCGGUCAGCACGCUCGACGCGUAACCGAGAGGUCCGUGGUUCGAUUCCCGGCAAAGUCG